GGUGAACAACCAUCCCAAUUUUCCUAGGACUGAUGGGAUUUCUGGAAGUUGAAUGAAUCAGGGAGUUCGGUAGAGCUUAUUAUGAAGACCAGCAGUGACCCUCUGGCCCCAACUUUCUGUCAUCUCUACCUUCUCAGAAGUCAGUUGUUCCAGCUCUUAGAAGUGAAGAUUUUGUGCUUCAUACAAUACUGGCAUUUUGUUUCAGAAUUCCUCUUUCUUAGAGACAUUAAAGAACACCCAGCAAACCUCAGAGAAGGAGGCUUCUUGGCCAAAAUCUUUCUUCAAGGAGAGAGAGACAUGAAUAGCCGUUAGUGGACGAUGCCAAGAUACUGCUUAGGAAAGCUAGCGUCAUCUGUUCAUUUGUUUUGUAAACCCAGAAAAUGAUGUCAUGUGUAAUACGGAUCAGAGAACAGAGACAUGGAGUGAACUCUGGAAAUAACCACAAGACCUGGGAAACGGUUGAGGGUAUGUGAGAAAUUGUUUUGAGUAAAGUGUUAGACUUGAAAGACUAAGGCUGUUCAAUAGUAAACUAGGUCCUUAGUUUGAAUGAGGGUCUGCUUUUUUGCUUUUCAAAAUGUGAUUCAUAUCAACUAGCUUGUUCAAAGGGAGAAUUUUAUUUCCUGUCGUG
RNAcentral lists this long non-coding RNA (628 nucleotides) under Capra hircus (goat). RNAcentral's name for it is "lncRNA (ENSCHIG00000007907.1)". Lineage: Eukaryota; Metazoa; Chordata; Mammalia; Artiodactyla; Bovidae. The record is from RNAcentral.